RNAcentral lists this ribosomal RNA (465 nucleotides) under uncultured bacterium. Its description in RNAcentral is "partial 16S ribosomal RNA". It matches the Rfam family "Bacterial small subunit ribosomal RNA", at positions 28 to 507 of the family's 1533-position model. The record is from RNAcentral.
GAUGAACGCUGGCGGCGUGCUUAACACAUGCAAGUCGAACGGAAAGGCUCCUGCUUGCAGGGGUACUCGAGUGGCGAACGGGUGAGUAACACGUGGGUGAUCUGCCCUGCACUUCGGGAUAAGCCUGGGAAACUGGGUCUAAUACCGGAUAGGACGAUGGUUUGGAUGCCAUUGUGGAAAGUUUUUCGGUGUGGGAUGAGCUCGCGGCCUAUCAGCUUGUUGGUGGGGUAAUGGCCUACCAAGGCGUCGACGGGUAGCCGGCCUGAGAGGGUGUACGGCCACAUUGGGACUGAGAUACGGCCUAGACUCCUACGGGAGGCAGCAGUGGGGAAUAUUGCACAAUGGGCGCAAGCCUGAUGCAGCGACGCCGCGUGGGGGAUGACGGCCUUCGGGUUGUAAACUCCUUUCGCUAGGGACGAAGCGCAAGUGACGGUACCUGGAGAAGAAGCACCGGCUAACUACGUG